Long non-coding RNA from Coregonus clupeaformis (lake whitefish), 784 nucleotides. RefSeq lists it as uncharacterized. The transcript has 3 exons. The record is from RefSeq and is a predicted model, not a curated record. NCBI's taxonomy places the organism in Eukaryota, Metazoa, Chordata, Actinopteri, Salmoniformes, Salmonidae.
UGAGGGGAUUGAAGAGGGGGUGCUGAGGCACGCAGAGUCCCUGUGCAGAGCCCUGGAUGGAGAGCUGGACCUCAGUGAGACCAGGCUGGACCAGAAGGCCUGUGGAUCUCUGGCCCUGGUUCUGGAACACUCAGAGGGGCUGUCAGAACUGGACCUCAGCCACUGUCAACUCACAGACCACCACCUACAGCCCCUGAUCACACACCUGCACAAAGUACAAGUCCUGGACCUGAGUCACAAUGACAUCACUGAUGCUCUGACUGACAAAAUACUCCAACUGGUCUCCACCAACACUUCAAUACACACCGUACGACUCUUCAACAACAGAAUCCAGGACAGAAGACCCUUCCUGACAGACAAGAGGUUUGAGAUCUGGUGAAGAUAAUGUUGGAUAAUGACAGUAUAAUGUGGUCAAUGUAUAUAGAAGGCUGGUUCAAAAUCACACUGAUUGAUCUGAGUCCAGAAGAAUAGUCUUAGGGACAGGAAUGUAUCAUCUGGUGGACAGACGUCUUACAUGUGUUGUCACUCAGGUCCUUAAAAACACAGGAACAUGUGUAUUAUAACUGUAGGAUAGGAAUAUGUAGUUUUAUUUACCACUAACAGUUUGUGUGUAAAUACUUUCAAUAUUCAUACAUUAUUUUGUAUCUAAUUUUUUGAAGAAAUGAAUGGUAUACCUUGUUUUAUUAAUAUCUACAUUGUACUGUAAUACUGAUAGACAGACAUACAGUAGGUCAACUACAUGGUACUGUAAUACUGUUAGACAGACAUACAGUAGGUCAACUAC